AGAUCCCUGAAAGAUGAUCAGGUUGAUAGGUCUGAGGUGGAAGUGUGGCGACACAUGGAGCUGACAGAUACUAAUCGAUCGAGGACUUAACCAU
This 94-nucleotide ribosomal RNA is filed under the name Bacillus subtilis. RNAcentral's name for it is "partial 23S ribosomal RNA". It matches the Rfam family "Bacterial large subunit ribosomal RNA", at positions 2831 to 2925 of the family's 2925-position model. Lineage: Bacteria; Bacillati; Bacillota; Bacilli; Caryophanales; Bacillaceae. The record is from RNAcentral.